RNAcentral lists this ribosomal RNA (457 nucleotides) under uncultured Enterobacteriaceae bacterium. Its description in RNAcentral is "bacterial SSU rRNA". It matches the Rfam family "Bacterial small subunit ribosomal RNA", at positions 923 to 1382 of the family's 1533-position model. Lineage: Bacteria; Pseudomonadati; Pseudomonadota; Gammaproteobacteria; Enterobacterales; Enterobacteriaceae. The record is from RNAcentral.
GCACAAGCGGUGGAGCAUGUGGUUAAUUCGAUGCAACGCGAAGAACCUUACCUGGUCUUGACAUCCACAGAACUUUCCAGAGAUGGAUUGGUGCCUUCGGGAACUGUGAGACAGGUGCUGCAUGGCUGUCGUCAGCUCGUGUUGUGAAAUGUUGGGUUAAGUCCCGCAACGAGCGCAACCCUUAUCCUUUGUUGCCAGCGGUCCGGCCGGGAACUCAAAGGAGACUGCCAGUGAUAAACUGGAGGAAGGUGGGAUGACGUCAAGUCAUCAUGGCCCUUACGACCAGGGCUACACACGUGCUACAAUGGCGCAUACAAAGAGAAGCGACCUCGCGAGAGCAAGCGGACCUCAUAAAGUGCGUCGUAGUCCGGAUUGGAGUCUGCAACUCGACUCCAUGAAGUCGGAAUCGCUAGUAAUCGUGGAUCAGAAUGCCACGGUGAAUACGUUCCCGGGCCUU